GGAAGCGCCUGUGACCGGGUGGUUGCCACAGUCUUCAAAACUGCUGUGCGUCGUUAGAGCGACGCAGGUGGGUUCGACUCCCAUGCGCUUCCG
Molecule: transfer RNA, 93 nt
Filed under: Candidatus Chlorohelix allophototropha
Lineage: Bacteria; Bacillati; Chloroflexota; Chloroflexia; Candidatus Chloroheliales; Candidatus Chloroheliaceae
Description: tRNA-Sec
Rfam family: Selenocysteine transfer RNA
Source: RNAcentral